UACGUAGGGUCCGAGCGUUGUCCGGAAUCAUUGGGCGUAAAGAGCGUGUAGGCGGCCCGGUAAGUCCGCUGUGAAAGUCGGGGGCUCAACCCUCGAAUGCCGGUGGAUACUGUCGGGCUAGAGUGCGGAAGAGGCGAGUGGAAUUCCUGGUGUAGCGGUGAAAUGCGCAGAUAUCAGGAGGAACACCAAUUGCGAAGGCAGCUCGCUGGGACGUAACUGACGCUGAGACGCGAAAGCGUGGGGAGCAAACAGG
RNAcentral lists this ribosomal RNA (253 nucleotides) under uncultured bacterium. RNAcentral describes it as "partial 16S ribosomal RNA". It matches the Rfam family "Bacterial small subunit ribosomal RNA", at positions 524 to 776 of the family's 1533-position model. The record is from RNAcentral.